ACAAAGAUAGCUACUAAAAAUGAAGAUGUUCGACACCUGGUAAAAGAAACUGCACCUCAUAAGGAAGAUAUCUUUGUACAGAGACCAAACACUGUCACAGAAGCGCCUUGUGAAUUGCAAAUACACAACUGGAAGGCUGGAAUGGAGCAUCUGGAAAGACUGGGGAAUAAAUCCCACUUCUUGAACUAAUCCUUUGACAUGGAAGGAGAAGGCUAAUUUCAAUGAGAGAAUAUCUUUGUACACUCAACUUCAAUACAACAUCCUGCUUCAGUCAAGCUUUCUUUAGAGAGCCC
Molecule: long non-coding RNA, 293 nt
Filed under: Calidris pugnax (ruff)
Lineage: Eukaryota; Metazoa; Chordata; Aves; Charadriiformes; Scolopacidae
Description: lncRNA (ENSCPUG00000003806.1)
Source: RNAcentral